This 251-nucleotide ribosomal RNA is filed under the name uncultured Pelotomaculum sp. RNAcentral describes it as "partial 16S ribosomal RNA". It matches the Rfam family "Bacterial small subunit ribosomal RNA", at positions 1131 to 1382 of the family's 1533-position model. Lineage: Bacteria; Bacillati; Bacillota; Clostridia; Eubacteriales; Desulfotomaculaceae. The record is from RNAcentral.
GUGAGCACUCUAGACGAACUGCCGUUGACAAAACGGAGGAAGUGGGGAUGACGUCAAAUCAUCAUGCCCCUUAUGUUCUGGGCUACACACGUGCUACAAUGGCCGGUACAGACGGAGGCGAAGCCGCGAGGCGGAGCAAAUCCGAAAAAGCCGGUCUCAGUUCGGAUUGCAGGCUGCAAUUCGCCUGCAUGAAGUCGGAAUCGCUAGUAAUCGCAGGUCAGCAUACUGCGGUGAAUACGUUCCCGGGCCUU